RNAcentral lists this ribosomal RNA (1243 nucleotides) under metagenome. Its description in RNAcentral is "bacterial LSU rRNA". It matches the Rfam family "Bacterial large subunit ribosomal RNA", at positions 1564 to 2816 of the family's 2925-position model. The record is from RNAcentral.
UGAAUACGAGACGCUAAGGCGUCGAAGUAGUGUAUAUCAGACUUCCAAGAAAAGCUUGCACUGUCAUAGAUAAAAAAUGCCUGUACCAUAACCGACACAGGUGGGUAGGUAGAGUAUACUAAGGGGCGCGAGAUAACUCUCUCUAAGGAACUCGGCAAAAUAACUCCGUAACUUCGGGAGAAGGAGUGCCUUAUUUAUAAGGUUGCAAUAACAAGAUCCAAGCAACUGUUUAUCAAAAACACAGGUCUCCGCUAAGUCGUAAGACGAUGUAUGGGGGCUGACGCCUGCCCAGUGCCAGAAGGUUAAAGAAGUUGGUUAGCAAUUGCGAAGCUGAUAACUGAAGCCCUGGUGAACGGCGGCCGUAGCUAUAACGGUCCUAAGGUAGCGAAAUUCCUUGUCGGGUAAGUUCCGACCCGCACGAAAGGCGUAAUGAUUUGGAUACUGUCUCGGAGAGGGGCUCGGUGAAAUAGACUUGUCUGUGAAGAUGCGGACUACCUGCACCAGGACAGAAAGACCCUAUGAAGCUUUACUGUAACUUGAAAUUGAAAUUGGACUUUAUUCGCGCAGCAUAGGUGGGAGGCGUUGAUUAUAAUCUUGCGGGAUUAUUGGAGCCAUCAGUGAGAUACCACUCUUGUAAUGUUAGAUUUCUAACUUUGAAUCAUUAUCUGGUCAAAGAACAGUUUCAGGCGGGCAGUUUGACUGGGGCGGUCGCCUCCUAAAUGGUAACGGAGGCGUACAAAGGUUUCCUCUGAACGGUUAGAAAUCGUAUCUAGAGUGUAAAGGCAUAAGGAAGCUUGACUGUGAGACCUACAAAUCGAGCAGGGACGAAAGUCGGUCUUAGUGAUCUGACGGUACUGAGUGGAAAGGCCGUCACUCAACGGAUAAAAGUUACUCUAAGGAUAACAGGCUGGUCUCCCCCAAGAGUUCACAUCGACGGGGAGGUUUGGCACCUCGAUGUCGGCUCAUCGCAUCCUGGGGCGGUAGUACGUCCCAAGGGUUGGGCUGUUCGCCCAUGAAAGCGGUACGCGAGCUGGGUUCAGAACGUCGUGAGACAGUUCGGUCCAUAUCCGGUGUAGGCGUUAGAAUAUUGAGAGGAGCCUUCUUUAGUACGAGAGGACCGAGAAGGACAUACCUCUGGUGUACCAGUUAUCGUGCCAACGGUAAACGCUGGGUAGCUAUGUAUGGAGUGGAUAACCGCUGAAAGCAUCUAAGUGGGAAGCCCACCUCAAGAUAAGUAUUCUCC